Molecule: small nucleolar RNA, 80 nt
Organism: Ylistrum balloti
Lineage: Eukaryota; Metazoa; Mollusca; Bivalvia; Pectinida; Pectinidae
Product: small nucleolar RNA SNORD53/SNORD92
Exons: 1
Source: RefSeq, a predicted model, not a curated record
UUGCGGUGAUGAUUAAAGGAUAUGGUUUCACUUUCUAUUCUGAAAGUCAAUGAUUACACUUUCCUUGGCUGUCUGAGCAA